Molecule: long non-coding RNA, 832 nt
Organism: Tripterygium wilfordii
Lineage: Eukaryota; Viridiplantae; Streptophyta; Magnoliopsida; Celastrales; Celastraceae
Exons: 2
Source: RefSeq, a predicted model, not a curated record
AAGCAUUGGUGAUGCGAGUAGAGAAUGCUUUGCAUGCGCGUAGAGGAUACUUUUGAAUGGGGCAAAAAAUAUUUUUUUGUCCCUCACCUAUACAUCAGGUUUCAUUUUUGUCCUGAAACUAUUUUUUGGGUCACUUUCAUCCCUCGCGGAUCCUACUGUACCCUGUUUGUCCCUAAAAUCUAUCUGGCAAAGGAAAAAUAUGAUUUGGCAUUUCAGGUGACUUAAUUUGGACAUCUGGACUGUUGAGUCAGCAUCCAAAUAGGAGAGAGAUGAGUUAUCUUCCACGUGUAUUAAAUUUCAAAUACCCUAAUCUCUUAAAUCUUACAUUCACGAACGCUACUAAUCUCAGCUUCAAAAAGCCUCCACCAGCUCCAUCAACUCCUCCAUCAGGUCGAUUGAAAGAAAGUGUGGCCUUGAUGGGCAUAAUGCUAGGACUUGUGUAAGACAUGCUACAGAGGCCACUAUUGAACCAAUAAGUGCUCAACGACUACUAACAAAAUACCUGAGGUUGUUUGGUGGAGCUUUGAGGCUUGUCGGUGCUGCUGUAGGGCUUAGGUCAAAUGUUAGAGGAACAAGGCCACUGAACAAAGAGUGGGAGCUACUACUGUUACAGGAACUAGGCCAAUGAACAAAGAGUGAAGAUGUUGGUGUAGUAGUUGAGGCCUGUUGGAUGACUUAAGUGGUUGGUUUUUGUUGAUGUAUGUUUAAUGAUCUAGGAUUGUGCUUCUGCCGCAGACUGUUUUAAUUAUUUGAGACUAUUAUGUUUAAUGUAAUUGAAUGAUGUAUUGUGUUUGUUGUUUUUGGUUAUUAUAGGAACAUAAUUAUUUGAUUU